CUUCCUUCCUUUUCCCCUCUGCUGGCACUGGCACCCCUGCAGCCAUGCCAGGGGCUGGAGAAGGGAAUUGCUGGAACUGGCACUACACUGGGCUUUGCCGGUUAGCUUUCAGCUGGGUCAGCACAUUGCUCUGCUUCUCUCCACUGCCCUGCAGGUGCCUCUGUGGGAGGAAGAACAGGAGUGGAAUGGAGGAUUGUCUUUCCAUGGCAAGGGAGAAGAGUGCCUGUGCUUUAAGAAAUAGACUGUGUCUUCAUAAGAACAUGAUUACUGUCAUAUUGACCCCAACAAAGGUGGUGUCCAGUCCAGCCUCCUCUCUCCAACUGUCACCUACGAUGGACACCUAAGGAAUCAUUAAAAGAACAAGAGGACACACAGGAAUAAUUUCCUGUGGAUAUGAUGUGCAGUACUGGGCUGGCAUGAAGACGUAGUAAAUUUUGUUAGACCAAGACAUAUAUGUGGAAAAAUAAGACAGACUUUUCGUCACACUUUUCUGUUAGAAUCACCUUUCAGUUAAGAGCAAUUGCUUACUGUUUCCUAAGAUAUUUAUUAAUUAAGCCACUUCUGAAAGGAAGAAGAUUGUAACUUUAGAAUAGAGAGGACAUUGAUUAUGUUAAUUAUGGGAAAAAAUAGCAUUUAUUAGCUAAGCAAAAAGGAGAGACAAUUACCUCACAGUGUUGAUUUGGAGAGAGGUAAGUGGGAGGAGGCAGUGUUGUAUGUUGAAGUAGAAGGAAAUGAUAAUGUACUAUCAGACCAGCAUCUCUACUGAGUCCACAGUUUUGGGCAGAGUUAGGAAACCUAGUUCUCAUGUGGACUUCUGAGGGACACGUUCUGUAGCUUCCCUUAAGGAUCAGGUCUGAAAAGAGUGAGAGAAUGUCUGUUUAGUGAGAAAGACUCCCUCACAAACAGCACAGUGGUUUGCUUGGCCUCCAGGAGUUUAUGCUGGAGCUGAGUGGUCGUUUUCAGCAGUAGAACUACAAGGAAUUCAGCUGUGCACUGGAUGAAGUACAGCCCUGGAACAUCAAAUGUAAAACCAGGGUAUGCUGGUGAUUUGAUGGCAGGGGGUGUUCAUUGCUGUAGCAGUGGAUGGGCAUCAAAACACAUCUUGCAUUUCUUGCUCUGGCACAGUUUAAACUGAUCUCGUGUUUUGGGCCACAAAGGAUUAUGCUCUAAUGAUGAGUUUUGCGGUUUGGGGUGUUUGAAAUGUAGGACAAGUGCUUCUGGGAAGAUUCUUUCCACAUAGGAUUUUCUUCUGUUAUGUGAAAAAUCAUUAAACAGUUAAAACGAGCAAAUCCUGGAAACUUUUCUGAACCUAACAGCUCUCAACCCUUGUUCUUAUCCCCUCAAUACCACCUUUACCCCAUUUCCACUUUUUUUUCCUGAGCUGGUCUGAUACAUCUGAACUUGCAGUAGUUUUUCUCAAGCUGCAUUUAGCUUUUAGCCAAUUACUGCAUUUAGAUAGUUACUGCUUCAGAACAACAAAAAAAUUUAGCUUGUUAAUCCAAAAAUGUGUCUGGUUUUCCUUCUGUACUAGUUGAUCUUAAAAAAAUCUAUUAUGUACAAGUACAAACCUUAUCUAUAUACACUGGUCUUUCUCCUAGAACAAUCUUCUAGGUUAGAAGGGAUGAUGUUUUUCCGUUUGAGAAGUGUUUUCUUAAUAUUUCAAAUGCAGACCUUAUUAGGUAGAAUUUCAACCAACUGAUGAUGCACUUAGGCAUCUUAAUUACCGCUCCUGGAUUGUGUGAUGUUUCCCCAGGUCUAAAAAGAACAGGCAGAAAGCCAAGGAGGCUUCCCAAGACUAGUCAGAAAUUCACACUCAUUGUCUAUGAGAAAGAGCACAGGUAAUAUUUAUCCCGAUUUAAAGAUCCAGUGUUCAAUCUUUUUAGGAUGAACAGAGAAACAAUACUGCUAUUUAGGGCUGAAUAUAAAUAGGUUUUGUGCUAGAAAGAAGUUAAUAAAUUUAAUUACUGGUGUAGAUCUGAAGAGAAAAAUAUGUAGCUUCAAUACAGUUUGAUAAAUACAAUAUUUAAGGAAUCAAACUGUUCAGCAGAAGAUGGAAAAAGCUUUUUGUGCGUACCAUUUUUGAACUAUGGUCCUCUGAGAAGAGUGUUCUUGACAGAACUCAAUGAACCUCAGUAAACGAGGACAUCAGCAAUCGACAUUUUUGAGGAUGUGCAAUUUUUCUAAACAUGAUCCCACUCCUGCAGUCGUUACACAGCAUAGAUUUUGCUAUUAAUUAGUUUGAAUGUGGGACAGCACUGCUGGGAGAAAGACAGUGGCCUAAAUAGCAUGGUCCAAAUUUUAUCUGUAGCUAUCCAAGAAAUACGGAUGUCUUUUAUUAACCCUUGCCGCCUCUGACAGCUAGAAAUAAAUGCUGGAGCCGUCUUACUCCUAAUGGAUUUUUGGAUCUCA
RNAcentral lists this long non-coding RNA (2409 nucleotides) under Ficedula albicollis (Collared flycatcher). RNAcentral describes it as "lncRNA (ENSFALG00000028721.1)". The record is from RNAcentral. Lineage: Eukaryota; Metazoa; Chordata; Aves; Passeriformes; Muscicapidae.